UGGGGAAUAUUGCACAAUGGGCGAAAGCCUGAUGCAGCGACGCCGCGUGAGGGAUGACGGCCUUCGGGUUGUAAACCUCUUUCAGCAGGGAAGAAGCGAAAGUGACGGUACCUGCAGAAGAAGCGCCGGCUAACUACGUGCCAGCAGCCGCGGUAAUACGUAGGGCGCAAGCGUUGUCCGGAAUUAUUGGGCGUAAAGAGCUCGUAGGCGGUUAGUCGCGUCUGCUGUGAAAACUCGAGGCUCGACCUCGGGCUUGCAGUGGGUACGGGCUGACUAGAGUGCGGUAGGGGUGACUGGAAUUCCUGGUGUAGCGGUGGAAUGCGCAGAUAUCAGGAGGAACACCGAUGGCGAAGGCAGGUCACUGGGCCGCAACUGACGCUGAGGAGCGAAAGCAUGGGGAGCGAACAGGAUUAGAUACCCUGGUAGUCCAUGCCGUAAACGUUGGGCACUAGGUGUGGGGUCCA
This 464-nucleotide ribosomal RNA is filed under the name uncultured bacterium. RNAcentral's name for it is "partial 16S ribosomal RNA". It matches the Rfam family "Bacterial small subunit ribosomal RNA", at positions 355 to 831 of the family's 1533-position model. The record is from RNAcentral.